This 263-nucleotide ribosomal RNA is filed under the name uncultured gamma proteobacterium 400m-ATT-15. RNAcentral's name for it is "partial 16S ribosomal RNA". The record is from RNAcentral. Lineage: Bacteria; Pseudomonadati; Pseudomonadota; Gammaproteobacteria.
GGUUACCUUGUUACGACUUCACCCCAGUCAUGAAACACAAAGUGGUAAUCGUCCUCCCGAAAGUUAGACUAACUACUUCUUUUGCAUCCCACUCCCAUGGUGUGACCGGCGGUGUGUACAAAGCCCGGGAACGUAUUCACCGCAGUAUUCUGACCUGCGAUUACUAACGAUUCCGACUUCAUGGAGUCCAGUUGCAGACUCCAAUCCGGACUACCACAUUCUUUAAGGGGUCCGCUCCACAUCACUGUCUCGCUUCCCUCUGU